CCCUUGGUAGCUCAGUUGGAAGAGCGUGAGACUGUAAAUCUCAAGGUCACUGGUUCGAAACCUGUCCGAGGGA
RNAcentral lists this transfer RNA (73 nucleotides) under Rhizoctonia solani. RNAcentral's name for it is "tRNA-Tyr". It matches the Rfam family "tRNA". From Rfam's summary of the family: Transfer RNA (tRNA) molecules are approximately 80 nucleotides in length. Their secondary structure includes four short double-helical elements and three loops (D, anti-codon, and T loops). The record is from RNAcentral. Lineage: Eukaryota; Fungi; Basidiomycota; Agaricomycetes; Cantharellales; Ceratobasidiaceae.